RNAcentral lists this small RNA (110 nucleotides) under Escherichia coli. RNAcentral's name for it is "partial RtT sRNA". It matches the Rfam family "RtT RNA", at positions 23 to 130 of the family's 130-position model. From Rfam's summary of the family: This family represents a bacterial cis-regulatory element known as RtT RNA. The exact function of RtT is unknown although it is thought that it may be involved in changing the cellular response in relation to amino acid starvation. Lineage: Bacteria; Pseudomonadati; Pseudomonadota; Gammaproteobacteria; Enterobacterales; Enterobacteriaceae. The record is from RNAcentral.
UGAGAAGCUUCGACCAAGGUUCGACUCGAGCGCCAGCGAGAGAGCGUUGCCGCAGGCAACGACCCGAAGGGCGAAGCGCGCAGCGCUGAGUAAUCCUUCCCCCACCACCA